Molecule: RNase P RNA, 324 nt
Filed under: pig gut metagenome
Description: Bacterial RNase P class A
Rfam family: Bacterial RNase P class A
About the family: Ribonuclease P (RNase P) is a ubiquitous endoribonuclease, found in archaea, bacteria and eukarya as well as chloroplasts and mitochondria. Its best characterised activity is the generation of mature 5'-ends of tRNAs by cleaving the 5'-leader elements of precursor-tRNAs. Cellular RNase Ps are ribonucleoproteins.
Source: RNAcentral
GCGGACGCAGUUCCGAAAGGACGCGCGCGAGGAAAGUCCGGGCUCCAAGGGCAAGGAUAACUGCUAACGGCAGCCGGGGGCGACCCCAGGGAGAGUGCAACAGAGAUAUACCGCCGCGGUUUCGCGGUAAGGGUGGAAAGGCGAGGUAAGAGCUCACCGCGCCCUGCGGCAACGCAGAGCGCCUGUAAACCCUAUCCGGAGCAACACCGUACAGGAGAUAAGGAGCCGGCCCGGCUCCCUCCGCAAAGGUGGCAUUUAAGCCGCACGGGCGACCGGCGGCGAAGAUAGAUUGCCGUCAUUACAGAACCCGGCUUAUUUUCCGGU